RNAcentral lists this ribosomal RNA (425 nucleotides) under uncultured bacterium. RNAcentral's name for it is "partial 16S ribosomal RNA". It matches the Rfam family "Bacterial small subunit ribosomal RNA", at positions 354 to 796 of the family's 1533-position model. The record is from RNAcentral.
GUGGGGAAUCUUAGACAAUGGGGGAAACCCUGAUCUAGUCAUGCCGCGUGAGCGAUGAAGGCCUUAGGGUUGUAAAGCUCUUUCAGUGGGGACGAUAAUGACGGUACCCACAGAAGAAGCCCCGGCUAACUUCGUGCCAGCAGCCGCGGUAAUACGAAGGGGGCUAGCGUUGUUCGGAUUUACUGGGCGUAAAGCGCACGUAGGCGGAUCGUUAAGUCGGGGGUGAAAUCCUGGAGCUCAACUCCAGAACUGCCUUCGAUACUGGCGAUCUUGAGUCCGGAAGAGGUGAGUGGAACUCCUAGUGUAGAGGUGGAAUUCGUAGAUAUUAGGAAGAACACCAGUGGCGAAGGCGGCUCACUGGUCCGGUACUGACGCUGAGGUGCGAAAGCGUGGGGAGCAAACAGGAUUAGAUACCCGAGUAGUCC